GUGUCAGCCGCCGCGGUAAUACGUAAGGUGCAAGCGUUGUCCGGAAUCACUGGGCGUAGAGGGCGCGUAGGCGGUUUGAUAAGUAGAAGGUGAAAGAUUCGAGCUCAACUCGAAAACUGCCUUCUAAACUGUCUUACUUGAGGGUCUGAGGGGAAACUGGAAUUCACGGUGUAGCGGUGAAAUGCGUAGAUAUCGUGGAGAACACCCGUGGCGAAAGCGGGUUUCUGGCAGACUCCUGACGCUGAGGCGCGAAGGCUAGGGGAGCAAACGGGAUUAGAUACCCCCGUAGUCC
This 292-nucleotide ribosomal RNA is filed under the name uncultured bacterium. Its description in RNAcentral is "partial 16S ribosomal RNA". It matches the Rfam family "Bacterial small subunit ribosomal RNA", at positions 505 to 796 of the family's 1533-position model. The record is from RNAcentral.